GACGAACGCUGGCGGCGUGCUUAACACAUGCAAGUCGAACGGAAAGGCCCUGCUUUUGUGGGGUGCUCGAGUGGCGAACGGGUGAGUAACACGUGAGUAACCUGCCCUUGACUUUGGGAUAACUUCAGGAAACUGGGGCUAAUACCGGAUAGGAGCUCCUGCUGCAUGGUGGGGGUUGGAAAGUUUCGGCGGUUGGGGAUGGACUCGCGGCUUAUCAGCUUGUUGGUGGGGUAGUGGCUUACCAAGGCUUUGACGGGUAGCCGGCCUGAGAGGGUGACCGGCCACAAUGGGACUGAGAUACGGCGCAGACUCCUACGGGAGGCAGCAGUGGGGAAUAUUGCACAAUGAGCGGAAGCCUGAUGCAGCAACGCCGCGUGCGGGAUGACGGCCUUCGGGGUGGAAACCGCUUUCGCCUGUGACGAAGCGUGAGUGACGGUAAUGGGUAAAGAAGCACCGGCUAACUACGUG
Molecule: ribosomal RNA, 468 nt
Filed under: uncultured bacterium
Lineage: Bacteria
Description: partial 16S ribosomal RNA
Rfam family: Bacterial small subunit ribosomal RNA
Source: RNAcentral